UACAGAGGUCCCAAGCGUUGUUCGGAUUCACUGGGCGUAGAGGGUGCGUAGUUGGCUGGGCAAGUUUGAUGUGAAAUCUCCGGGCUUAACCCGGAAAAUGCAUUGAAUACUGCUUAGCUGGAGGUUUGGAGGGGGGACUGGAAUUCUCGGUGUAGCAGUGAAAUGCGUAGAUAUCGAGAGGAACACCAGUGGCGAAGGCGGGUCCCUGGACAACACCUGACACUGAGGCGCGAAAGCUAGGGGAGCAAACAGG
Molecule: ribosomal RNA, 253 nt
Filed under: uncultured bacterium
Lineage: Bacteria
Description: partial 16S ribosomal RNA
Rfam family: Bacterial small subunit ribosomal RNA
Source: RNAcentral